AAGAAGUGGAAAAGCCCCAGUAGGUCGUCUCUCCUGGAGGCACUGGCUCACUCCAGGGCGCAGCAGCCCCCCUCUUCUCUGUCCCUGUCUCACAGGGAACUUUCUGCUCUGGGUGCCUUCCUGGGAAAGGCAGCCACAUCUGCAAGAAGUCAGGAAGCUCUGUGACAAGGAGCGGCUGUGGAGCCUCCUGCCGCUCACCUCCCAGGAGGCCUCCUCAUCUUUGUCCAGGGAGCUCUUGCUAACAAUCAGUCACCCAGACAUUGUUUUUCCUCCUUUUAAUUCAACUUUUUGCUUGAAGAGACUCCAGAAUCUUGUAAGUGCAAUUAUGGGUUCUUGGGUUUGUUGAUUCUACCUUUAUAUUAUUUUGCUUAACCAUUUAUUUUAGAGGCUUUUGCUUUGCUUCAUUUCUGAUAAUACCCUUAAGACUUUUAAUGGGUUUGUUUUUCUUCCUUAAAGAAGUUAAAGAUUUUAUCUUCUUAUUAUUUUUAAUAGUAAAACAUUGAAAACUAUGAAUUGACCUCUGAGAAUCUCUGACUUCAUUCCCAAAGCUACUGUAUUAUGAGCUCUAAUUUUUGUUUGUUGUUAACAACAAAGUCUGUUGUUAACUAAUAGACUUAGGUGUUAUUUUAAUGGUUGCAUUGUAGUUUUUUUUUUUGUUUUGUUUAUGGUGCUGGGGAUUGAACCUAGGGCCGUGUAUACACAAGGCAAGCACUACAUUGUAGUUUUUAACCUUUUCUAUAAACUUUUGUUGUUACGUAUUUGUUUUUGUUAUUACUUUUCAAUAACAGUAAGAAAAAUAAAAUAGAGAUGUGGUGUUUCAAGGUAGUGGCAGCAACUGGACUCGGUGAUCCAGUGCCUGGCCAACACCAGUUCUAAUAAAAAAUGUAUUGCACUAUGAAUAGGGAACAUAAUCUGGAGAAUUUAUUCUUUUAUUUAUAUUUUGUGUCUAGUUUUUGUGUAUAUUUUACAACUCUCUAAAAGAAAGUGAAUUAUCUGCUUUUAAGGUAGCUACUCCUAUGUGCUACUACAAUUUCUAUGUUUUUAAAGCUACUACUGUAUGUUGGGCAUAAACUCAUAACAGCUGUUGUCUUUGGUGCCUGACAUUUGAAAGCAGCCCUAUCAAUCCUAAUAAAUUUGAUAGCAAAUAUCAAGCCAGUUUUAUAGAUAAGAAAACCAAGACUCAGAAUUUUUUAAAGCUUUGUGUCAUAGAUUGCUUGUAAUGUCAGUGUCUGUCUAUAAACUAUUAUCAGCAUAUUCUGAAUUUCUGAUAACUUUUCUCUUCUACAUUUUGUUUAUAUGUUAAUCUGUGCCUAAAAGUACAAUAUAUUUGUCUUCAGUGCUAGUUGGGCCUUUUAGCAAUAUAAAAUCACUCUCUUCACUCUAUUUGUUGAGCUUCACUUUUAAACUUUGGCACCGAGAUAAUGACUAUAGGAGGAGGAGAUUUACAUAUAUAAUCUUGUUAAUUUGCAUGGUAUUUAUUUUAAGGUCUCUGCCAGAUGUUGUGGACUUAGGAGGCAUGAACUUUAAAAGCUUUACUGUUGACUCAUAAGUAAAUUAAGAAAAACAAAAGUAAUUCUAUUCUUUACCUAUCUUUCAGGCAUGUUGUAUAUAGAAGAUGAAAUAAAAUGUGUCUUUAAUUAGUUUAAAGAGGUAUGUAAAUUCAACUUAGCAUUAUUUCUUCACAGGACUUCUUACUUUUCUUGCUUCUGGCCUCUCCCUCCAAAUCCACUCUCCAGCAGAAGUUAAUAAUGAAGAUUGUGAUCUAACAAGGGUUGAUACAACUUUUAAAUCUCCUGCUUUCCAGUUUCAGGAUUCUGAGACUCUGAUCAAUGGAUAAUAACUUCAUCCAUUAAAGAACUCCUAGUGUUUAGCUUUUGUGUUUCCUGAGAUAAUUCAGAGAAGCAAAAGUCUUGUCAGUAUUCGCUGCUGUGCACAAAACUCCUGUAGACACCAGAAACCAAGCCAAACUUGAUGCGGCAUUUGAAGUCAGCACUGAGACUUCCAGAUAUCACUCGAGGCGUACCCUCAGGACACAAUCUCCCAAUCAGCAACUGCCGUGCAACAAAUAUAAAGGAAACCACCUCCUCAGUAAGCCAAAUUCCUGGCAUAGUCUUUUCUCUCAGUUUCAAAAUUUCCCAUAUUUUCCUGUCAGUAUCAUUCAUCCAGACAUUUUCCAUCGAAUUAAUGUGAUUUAUUUU
This 2198-nucleotide long non-coding RNA is filed under the name Marmota monax (woodchuck). Lineage: Eukaryota; Metazoa; Chordata; Mammalia; Rodentia; Sciuridae. The record is from RNAcentral.